Molecule: unclassified non-coding RNA, 3413 nt
Filed under: Hevea brasiliensis (rubber tree)
Lineage: Eukaryota; Viridiplantae; Streptophyta; Magnoliopsida; Malpighiales; Euphorbiaceae
Source: RNAcentral
AUUUGUUGCAGUUUAUGAAAAUCUGAGGAAUACAGCAAACACUAAUAACAAAAACGUUAUAAUUCUUCCGCUUAUCAGGUGAGAAGCUGCAGAAACAUUGUGAGGCCCGACGGAAUACACUGAACCAGAACUUUCAUCCCUCACUUUGAUGCUUGAAGAGCCUAAAACAAACAAGAACAUUGAAAGAGAAAGGCAAGAAUAAGUCUUUGAUUCAAUGAUAUGAACUGUAUGCCAGAAUGGGGAAGAACAAAUCAUUAAAGGAAACAGGGAGACGGGGAAAAAAACUCAACAGAUGUAUGCAUCUAUGAUAAAACUAUUUCCUCAGGAAGGUAAAGGUGACAAUAGAGGAGACAUGUGCAAAUUGGCAUAGUUAGGAAUACUGAGGAAAAUCCAAAUCCAAACAAUGAUGUUACAGAGCUUUUGCAAAUCCAAAAAUAUGAAGUUAAAAAUUAAAAUACAGAAAAAGACCAAGAGAUUAAAGAACCCAAAGGGUCGAAAACCAUCUUGAAUGCACUUAUGCGGUCAACUUUAGCAUUUCUGCCUAGAAUAACAUAAAAUAAAAAGAAGCAAGGAAGAGAGUCUAGUUCUUUGUCUGGCUUCAUUAAGUAUGAAUCAAAACACAAAUCAAGUCAUCAAAUAUAAAAUUGAAGAAAGACUAUAUGGUACUCACAGUUGUACUCUGUCCAUCCAAUUGCCUGAUUUUCGAUGUCAUAUAAAACAAGCUUAUUUGAAAGCACCAAAUCUGUAUUGAAAUAAUUAGCAAGUUAAAAUUUUAAACUGAUGAUUUUAUUUUUAUUUUCCAGUUAAUGAAAAUAAAAACAAUUUAUUAUGUCAUCUACUUCAACCAGUUCAGCUCAAAUCAAUAUAUGUGUAGCAGAACCCAAAAGAUUAACAAGAAGGCUCUAGGAUACUUAGCAAGGACAAGAAUGAAAUUUAAAAGAAUUUAAAUUGCCAUGGUGACUGGCACUUAUUUACAUUUUUCAAGCAUGUCUUAUAAAUGAUAUUCCAAGCCAUCAACUAAUUUGUUAGAUAAGAGUAAGAGACCAAUGGAACUGUUCAGCUUUUCAUCAUUCACUGUAAGACAAAUGCUGUCAAUUUUCACUUGCUAGAAUGCAGAAUCCAUGGCCUUAAAAUAGGCAGUUGUGCAGUUCCAGGCUAGGAUGAGUUGAACUUAAUCUGAUAGUGUUCACCAUUUCACCAUCUACAUUAUGUGAAACGAAAAGUAACAAUAUUUAGAAUGGAAAACCAAUUGAAGACCAUACCUCCUAAAAGAGUCAUAUCCCUACCAUCCUUAGAUUGCACCCCACUGUUUUGCCAACCAAAACACCAUACAUCAUCACGAAUUUGGAACAGAUAGUCAUGUGGAUAAACACUCAAAGUAAGCGAAUCUUCAAAAUGAAACUUGACAACCGGAAAUCCAUCAUCAACAUUUCCACUGUACUGAAAGCACAGAAACUGCUCCUCAACAGUAUGCAAUUUCAAUCCAGGUUGCUGGGCCACAAUCUUAGUCAUCAUUGAAUCAUAAACUGUCUCUGGAAGAUAUGCCAAGGUAGUACCACUGUCGAUUAUUGUUCCUUUCCGAUCUCCAGAAUCAAAUGUAUCUGUUGGAAGUUCCAGAACAUUAUUGCCCACCUCUAUUUCCUUCAUGACAACAUUGUAAUGCGGCUGAUUUGCUACCAUUGGAGUUGUAUUUGCUUUUGGUGAGACUACCUCCCCAAUAGCAAAGAUUCCACCUCCAUUUGCAUUGUCCAGGCAAUGCGCAAACAUUUUUUUAACCUUUCCUGCUGCAGCAAGUUGUGAAAUCAUGGAUGAGUUUGCCUGCCCAAAACCAAGUAUUCCAUCCAGUGCUUCACUGGAUGUACCUAACUCCCCAGAUUGUUUGGCUCCACAUCCAAAUAUAACACUUCCAUUCGCUGAUGCAGUUUGAAGAUUUCCGGUAACUCUUUCAAACUGCAAAUUGUCCCUCACAAAGAAUCCAGCUGUUGAGCUUCCGUCACCAUAAACAACAUUGUAUUGGCAGGGAAAGUCUUUUGUGCAACCCUGGAGCACACCGUUGUAUGUAGCAGCACAAAAUUCAUCAUCACAAUAAAUCCUUGUAGCAGAAGCAGAAGUCGUUGGAUCAUACAAUGUCAAUUUUACACCAAGAUCACUUUUUGUGGGACACCUGUCGCAGUUGGCACAAUUCACCCACAGAAUGUCACUGCCAGUAUCAACUUGCACAAAGUAGUCCUUUGGUGGAUUUCCAAGCCCAAUUUUGGCAAAGUAAAGGCUAAAGAAAUAAAUGAAGAAAUCAUAUAAGCACCCAAAAUGAAUUAUACAAAAUAUGCAUGAGUUGAUGAGUAAAAAGACAAUAUUAUUCCAUCCAUUUCGCGAGAUUCUAGAUAUUAUUUUCCUCAUUUUCCUCAAUCAUCUUAACAAUGAAACAGAAUGGUGGAAUUUACAUCAGAGAGGAACAUAAUUACAGCACAUCUAACCAAAAAUUUCCAAAACAGAUCAACAAAUACAAAUAGAAGGAAUAUUGGAUACAAAAACGAAAUAAAGUCAUGAACAUGACAAAAUAUCAAAGAACAACCAAUAUAAACAACAGUGAAAACAUUGUUGAUUCCUUCCCAAUAAACCCAAUUCGCUGCAACAUCAAUUACAAGCAUAGCAAGCAGCAAAAGUAAGUCUAGGAUAAAGCUGAUAAUUGGAUCUAGAACCAAUUGCAAUUGCAUAUAUAAGCAGAAAAAGUAACCUCACCCAACAAUUAAUAUGAAACAUGAUCACCUCCACUUAUUAAAAACAAAGCAAAAAUAAAAUAAAAAUUGUAGCUGGAAUUUAUAUAGAACCGACCCAGCUUCAGCUGGAUGGCCAUUGCCACCUAAAGGGAGAUCGACAGCGGAGAGAAUUCUCCGGUGACGGCGAGCAUCAUGGGCUUUUAAUGCGCUGAGGCUGCGUUCUUUACCAGCAAACUUAUUUUGGACCUUAAAAACGACAUUCCCAGAAGCUAAAAACACAAAACCCAAUUGAAAAAGAACCGCCACCGUUAAACCCACCAGCAAUCUCCUCAGAUCCAUCGUCACGCACCGCCACCAAAGUCUCAAGUGCCUUUGCUAUCAAAAAGAAAAGUAAUCGAGCUAAAUUAAAUUAAGCUCGUAUUUAAUUUUCUUCCCGGCUUUUGUUAUCGUCUUCUUUCUCCCUCUCUCCCUUUCGGUAUUAAGAGAAAGGAAUUAAGGCGGCGGUUCUGAGAGAUUUCUUAGGUGGUUGAAAUUGAAAGAAAGAAAGAAAGAAAAGGGUAUGAGAAAGAAAAGAAGAGAAGCGGAAGGAAAGGUUCACAAUGCCCGUUUUCAACGGCAAACCACACGUCCGUCCUUACAAUGUAACGUGAAGAGAACGUUGGUCUACUUCUUCGGCUUCUUUUUUUUUUUUUUUUU